RNAcentral lists this small nuclear RNA (167 nucleotides) under Meriones unguiculatus (Mongolian gerbil). RNAcentral's name for it is "U1 spliceosomal RNA (ENSMUGG00000007577.1)". It matches the Rfam family "U1 spliceosomal RNA". From Rfam's summary of the family: U1 is a small nuclear RNA (snRNA) component of the spliceosome (involved in pre-mRNA splicing). The record is from RNAcentral. Lineage: Eukaryota; Metazoa; Chordata; Mammalia; Rodentia; Muridae.
GUACAUACAUGGCAGAGAAAUAGCAUGAUCAUGAAGGUAGUUUUCCCAGGAUAAGGCUCUUCUAUUGUACUAGAGAUCUGUUGUAGACAGUUGUGAUUUUUCACAAAUGCAGGAAACUUGACAAAUGAAUUUGUAGCAAUGGGAGACUGUAUUGGUGUUUUCUCCUA